CUGGGCUUUUUCUGGCUUUGAUGAGGUAAGGUGCUGUAUUGUGAGAGGGUCUGUGAGAUCACAAGGUCAGGAGCUGAGAUCCAGUCCUGGCCAACAUCCAGCAAGAGAGCAGGAUCUCGGUCCAACAGCAGUAUGGAAUGGAACUUAAUUCUGACAACCACUUAGGUUGGUGGAAAACUUCGAACUUUAGUAAGAAAUGCAGCCCCACUGAUAUCUCAUUUGCAGCCUGUGAGACCCUUAGCAGAGGACCCAGCUAAAUUGUGCCUGGUCUCCUGAUUCACAGAAAUAUUAUGAAAAAGUAUGAUUUUAAGCAACUACAUUUAUGGUAACUUAUUACACAGCAAUAAAAAACAAAUGUAAUAAUUUAUUCAGAAGUUUUAUAUACCACUGAUUCUAAUAGAACCAUACAGACACUUUCUAGGAUCUAGGCUUAGGUAGAUAUAUUCCUGGGGCUCUUUCAAUUCUGAAACUUUGGGCUCAGGAGCUAUUUCCAAUAAUGAUUAAAAAAAAGUGAAAGAAGACACUACAAAAUGAAGAGAAAGGCAGAGAAGGGUAAAAAUAAAUGCAGAAACCAAAAAGAGUAUCCCAAAGAACAGAGCAAGUUACAUGUAAAGUUCAGCAUCAGCAGUCUGGAAAUACCCAAAAGCGCCUCAUUGUCUGCACAGCAUGAAGCCUUCCCCUGACCUAAAUGGAUCAAGAAAAAUCAAAACUGCAAAUAUUUUUUUCAGAGCCAACUAUCUACUGGAUUUUGCUAAGAAAUUUGGUAAUUAAAAAUAUUCUUUAAGCUAUAGCCUUUACUUUCAAAGAGCCUGCAAUCUAAAUAUGAUCAAAGUUUACUGAAGUAUACACUGACACAUAACACCACUUGUUUUUC
RNAcentral lists this long non-coding RNA (874 nucleotides) under Pongo abelii (Sumatran orangutan). Its description in RNAcentral is "lncRNA (ENSPPYG00000040083.1)". The record is from RNAcentral. Lineage: Eukaryota; Metazoa; Chordata; Mammalia; Primates; Hominidae.